Long non-coding RNA from Salvia splendens (bonfire salvia), 625 nucleotides. RefSeq lists it as uncharacterized. NCBI's taxonomy places the organism in Eukaryota, Viridiplantae, Streptophyta, Magnoliopsida, Lamiales, Lamiaceae. The transcript is spliced from 2 exons. The record is from RefSeq and is a predicted model, not a curated record.
UAAGCUAAGGAAAAAGAAAUAAGUGAGGUGGAAGGGGAGUAAUACGUGUAAUGUGUGUGUGAAAAAGAAUUAGGAUAGAUGUUUGAGUCUUCCCUCUCACCCUCAUUUAUCUCUUUCUCUCCAUGUCUCUUCUCUCUCUCUGUAAUUUAUCCAACCACCCUGCUCUCUCCCUCCGUUCAGCUACACACCUCAGCCCCGAAAUCGCCGGCAAAGUCGUCGGGAUGCCGAAAGCGCACAUAGCUUACCCAAGUUCCAAUUCCCAUUAGUUUAUCUCCAUAUCAGAAAUUGAAAUUCAAACCCACAUCAAACCAAUAUCCAAAAUAGGUGCAGUGGGAGGUGAACACGGUGCAAGCACAAGCAAUAAGGGAAAGGAGCACCUCCAUGGUUGACUAAGCCAGUAAUAGUGUUUUUUUUGACGUGUACAGGUAGUGUACGCGUGUUCUAGAAUUUAAUUCCUUUAACUUCGAUAAAUAUUACUAUUUGUUUGUGUGAUUCGUAUACUUAUGCCAUAGAGCUUAAAAAUGAUUGUGUGGAUUUUGUAUACUUCAAAGUGAUGCAAAUAGCUAUAUGUGUUGAAUAAUGUGAAAGUUGAUGUGAAAUAAUUGCGUUACGCCCCAUUGCUUGA